This 218-nucleotide ribosomal RNA is filed under the name uncultured bacterium. RNAcentral's name for it is "partial 16S ribosomal RNA". It matches the Rfam family "Bacterial small subunit ribosomal RNA", at positions 524 to 739 of the family's 1533-position model. The record is from RNAcentral.
UACGUAGGGGGCAAGCGUUGUCCGGAUUUAUUGGGCGUAAAGAGCGUGUAGGCGGUUUUACAGGCCCGCUGUGAAAACUCGAGGCUCAACCUCGAGCUGUCGGUGGAAACCGUAAGGCUAGAGUCCGGAAGAGGAGAGUGGAAUUCCUGGUGUAGCGGUGAAAUGCGCAGAUAUCAGGGAAGAACACCCGUGGCGGAAGGCGGCUCUCUGGGACGGUA